UACUCCAGUGGCAGGGUGCCACUUCUGUUGCUCCAAUAAACUGCAACCAAGAACUAAAAUCUUUGACAGUGCAACCAACCAUGCAAUUCAUCAAGCAGCCUCCAAGGCUCGAAAUAGUGAGAAACCCUCAUCACUUAAAGCCUGAUCUUUUAGAGAUUCAGAGGUAGACCUUUAACAAAGAUCAUUACUGAAGCUGUGCUCCACCAGUACUUGGGCUGGAAGUGUUCACAGGGCUGCCCCUGAAUUUGUG
Long non-coding RNA from Vidua macroura (Pin-tailed whydah), 250 nucleotides. RefSeq lists it as uncharacterized. The record is from RefSeq and is a predicted model, not a curated record. NCBI's taxonomy places the organism in Eukaryota, Metazoa, Chordata, Aves, Passeriformes, Viduidae. The transcript has 3 exons.